Molecule: ribosomal RNA, 467 nt
Filed under: uncultured bacterium
Lineage: Bacteria
Description: bacterial SSU rRNA
Rfam family: Bacterial small subunit ribosomal RNA
Source: RNAcentral
UGAGGAAUAUUGGACAAUGGGCGCAAGCCUGAUCCAGCCAUGCCGCGUGCAGGAUGACGGUCCUAUGGAUUGUAAACUGCUUUUGUACAGGAAGAAACAGUUCUACGUGUAGAACCUUGACGGUACUGUAAGAAUAAGGAUCGGCUAACUCCGUGCCAGCAGCCGCGGUAAUACGGAGGAUCCAAGCGUUAUCCGGAAUCAUUGGGUUUAAAGGGUCCGUAGGCGGUUAGAUAAGUCAGUGGUGAAAGCCCAUCGCUCAACGGUGGAACGGCCAUUGAUACUGUCUGACUUGAAUUAUUAGGAAGUAACUAGAAUAUGUAGUGUAGCGGUGAAAUGCUUAGAGAUUACAUGGAAUGCCAAUUGCGAAGGCAGGUUACUACUAAUGGAUUGACGCUGAUGGACGAAAGCGUGGGUAGCGAACAGGAUUAGAUACCCCGGUAGUCCCUGAGCGGGCUGGCAAGGCGCAU